RNAcentral lists this ribosomal RNA (293 nucleotides) under uncultured bacterium. RNAcentral describes it as "partial 16S ribosomal RNA". It matches the Rfam family "Bacterial small subunit ribosomal RNA", at positions 29 to 352 of the family's 1533-position model. The record is from RNAcentral.
AACGAACGCUGGCGGCAGGCUUAACACAUGCAAGUCGAACGCCCCGCAAGGGGAGUGGCAGACGGGUGAGUAACACGUGGGAACGUGCCCUUCGCUUCGGGAUAGCCUCGGGAAACUGGGAGUAAUACCGAAUACGCCGUAUUGGAAAGAUUUAUCGGCGAAGGAUCGGCCCGCGUUGGAUUAGCUAGGUUGGCGGUGUAAUGGACCACCAAGGCUACGAUCCAUAGCUGGUCUGAGAGGACGACCAGCCACACUGGGACUGAGACACGGCCCAGACUCCUACGGGAGGCAGC